Long non-coding RNA from Phasianus colchicus (ring-necked pheasant), 2752 nucleotides. RefSeq lists it as uncharacterized. The record is from RefSeq and is a predicted model, not a curated record. NCBI's taxonomy places the organism in Eukaryota, Metazoa, Chordata, Aves, Galliformes, Phasianidae.
GCUGCUUCUAGAAUAAAUAAUCAAAUGAUGCAGACAGAUCCCCACAGAUACCUGCUGGGCUUACAGCAAAGAGAUGGCAUGGAGGUGCCUACAGCUGUUGGACUGUCACUCAAUCUAUACUACACCUCAUUGUGCCCAGGAGGGGUACAUCUAUGUCUCAGGCUGUGUGAGGAUGCCAAGACUCUUCACAGGACCAAGGCAUUGCUCCACUUCUACUGAGUCCUUGGGGGCAUGGCUCUCCACUAAAACAGAUGAAAUGCAGAGGUUUUCUUCUAUACGCCCACUCAUCCGGCAGGUUACCAAGCACCAGAAGAAAAAAAAAAAAAGCUGGGAAGAGAUUUCCUUGCAAGCUAGCACCACUGGGACCUACAGGACACAAAAAGGAAAAACUUGCUUCUCCUGAUACCUUCCCAUUCUUUUAUAUGGCUAGAGGAGGUAUAUCAUUUUGUCUUCUCUGCUUAAAUAGCCCUGAAACCUAAAUUUUACAUAAUAAGAAAACAUGUGAUUGUGAGAUGGUGAUCUCUUCUGUAGAAGAUGGAGCUAUCCUUCCCCCUCUGUGUAAGCAGUGUAUGAAAUAGCUCAGAUUCAUUGGGUAUCAGAGGAGCAGAGAAAGUUCAUGUGCCUACUGGAAACAUGCCUCCUGGCUUUAGGGAGUGGGACACUGCCUGGAGAGUAGGAACGGGAAUUAGCUAUAGGAUUUAAAUGCAAUCAUAUGCUCUGACCCUAACUACUGAAUUGCGCUUCCCCUCAAGCAGAUGCUUCUCCUAUAGUUACAACCAGCCCGGACUUUUUAGUCAUGCUACAAUUCACCACCACUGAGCUGAUCAAAUUAUCACAGUGUCUGGUUUACAAUAUCACUGAUUAAGUCACAGAGGAGGAAGCUAAUUAUAGAGGAGCAUGCUAUUUGCACACAGAGAUGCUGUAUCAAGCUCUGCAGGAGGCAGAUGGAAGUAUUUUAAAAGAAGAAAGGGCGUACAACAGCAAAACACAACUUUGGUGGGAAUUCUACAGCCUCUUCUCCUCUGGAGGCAUUUCUUGAGCAUGGUGAUCUGAGGAGCUCUCAAAGCACAAAAGUAGAGCGCCAAGAGGUCUGAUUAAUUUUAUUACUUGGAUAUAUGAUCAUUACUGACUAGAAUAGCUCAAAGUUGCCUUGAAUGUCAACCUAUCAGUGUAUUCGGCCUUGAACAAGCAUUACAUAAUUACACUAAAUCACAAAAUCAGAAUUAUGGGAUUGUUUGGGGAGGGGUUAUCUUAAUACAGAAUGAUCUAAUUUGUAUCGAUCUUUCUAUAAUAUGUUUAAGGAUAAGUGUACUUAGGACCCAACCACAUCAUAAAAACAAGGUCUGGAGUCAAAUGGGCACAACCACAGUGUGGGUACUUAUUCAGAAAAUUCAUUGAGGCAAAUAGAGCUAUCUUCAGCGUGCUUGAAUUGAAAUGUUUUAAAUGCAAAACAAUUUAAUUUUGCUUACAUUUGACAUUAUUUUCUACAACAAUCAUGGGUUCCAUUGCCUUCCAACUUUACAAUGGGAAGUGCAAGUUCUGGAAGAUGAACUUGACAUUGCCUUAAUUUGUCUCCUGUGUGAUAGUUUACAAAGGGAAUAUAACAAAGAACUGCUGAUGCAACAGCUUUUACAUACAUUUAGCAUGAGUGUUAAGGCCAGAGAAAGAUACAGGGGCAAUUAAGGCUCACCUGCCUUAUAAAUCCUUUGGUAUAAAGCUUUCUCACUUGUCACCAUAAAAAAAAAUAAUAAAUCUAUAGGCAACAAAUUCAUGGAAAUGCUGCUUUGGCUGUACGGGAAGCCUGAAGUGGAAAAUAAAGCUGCUUUGGCAGGAUGGCUGGCAAGCAAUGCUGUAUGCAAGCUGAACUUUUUCCAGUGGUGAAGUGAGCCAAUCCUGGCCCUUGCUAAAGCUGGCAAAUAGGAGUUGAGUCUGUGAACUACAAUACACGAUUUCUCUUAUAGGAGCUUAAAAGAAUGGGAGAUCUGGAGGGAAUUUCUAUAUGAACCUCCUACAGUCAGAUCUUUAAGCCCCCUUUAGGUCAGCAUUAGUGCGGGUAGCACAAGCAGAAAGAGGAACCGGAUUACCCUGCUUUGGCUGUUCUGAAAUGGCAUUUAGCAUACUAUUUUCAGCUUGAUAGGACCAGAUAGCACAAUAGGAGGAGGGAAAGGCCAUCAUUUCCUUUUCAUGUGAAUAACUACGGAGAAACCAUAGAAGAAGCACUGACUUCCCAAGACUAGUGUUGAAAUGGGGGUCAUUUAUUUUGUUUCUGUUUAUAGAAAGCCUAAGCAGCAGACAAUUGGAUUUUGAGAUUUGCUCUCCAUAGCGUGACAAGAAAUUUUUUUGGAAUGGUAAUAUGAUGGAAGAGUAGGAGAUGCUUUGAACAACCUUUAUCUGAGGUAUCAGUAAUACCACUUCUUCCACAUCAUCACUAAAAAAGUCUGAACUAUCAGCAGACAGUCGCUGCUUGCAGUCCAACAACCUUCUUUGGGAUGCUGAAGCUUAGACAAGAGAGAGACAGGCUGUCAGUGCAUGUUCACACAGAGGACGGAACAAGCUGCUUGAAAAACAUAUCUGAGAUGGGAGCUAUUUUCCUUCAGCUGGCACAACCUUAGCUCCAUAUGGAGCCAUGUGCAAUAUGGCAACACUUGAUGGGAGCAUCACAGAACCAGGCUAGCCUCUGGUUCUUGACAAGAAGGGAGGAUUAGCAGCUGCAGUCUAAACUCGGAAAAGCAAUCCUCUCACAAAAGAACAU